GCUUGCGGCCACACUGGCCUGAGUACGCCUGAUCUCGUCCGAUCUCGGAAGCUAAGCAGGGUCGGGCCUGGUUAGUACUUGGAUGGGAGACCGCCUGGGAAUACCAGGUGCUGUAAGCU
Molecule: ribosomal RNA, 119 nt
Organism: Oncorhynchus mykiss (rainbow trout)
Lineage: Eukaryota; Metazoa; Chordata; Actinopteri; Salmoniformes; Salmonidae
Source: Ensembl